This 84-nucleotide transfer RNA is filed under the name Binatia bacterium. RNAcentral's name for it is "tRNA-Leu". It matches the Rfam family "tRNA". Rfam says of the family: Transfer RNA (tRNA) molecules are approximately 80 nucleotides in length. Their secondary structure includes four short double-helical elements and three loops (D, anti-codon, and T loops). Further hydrogen bonds mediate the characteristic L-shaped molecular structure. tRNAs have two regions of fundamental functional importance: the anti-codon, which is responsible for specific mRNA codon recognition, and the 3' end, to which the tRNAs corresponding amino acid is attached (by aminoacyl-tRNA synthetases). tRNAs cope with the degeneracy of the genetic code in two manners: having more than one tRNA (with a specific anti-codon) for a particular amino acid; and 'wobble' base-pairing, i.e. permitting non-standard base-pairing at the 3rd anti-codon position. The record is from RNAcentral. RNAcentral also lists the same sequence under 4 other names. Lineage: Bacteria; Candidatus Binatota; Binatia (SeqCode).
GCGCGAGUGGCGGAAUUGGUAGACGCACUAGCUUGAGGGGCUAGCGCCCGCAAGGGCGUGCUGGUUCGAGUCCAGUCUCGCGCA